Myodes glareolus (Bank vole) is the source of this 426-nucleotide non-coding RNA. The record is from RefSeq and is a predicted model, not a curated record. NCBI's taxonomy places the organism in Eukaryota, Metazoa, Chordata, Mammalia, Rodentia, Cricetidae.
GCUUGCAGAAGGAAAACUAUCUGUGCAUCAACAUUCAUGGCUCUGUUUCCCAGCUGUGGUUGCAAUGUGACCUGAGCCAGGCUCCUGCCACCUAUGUCCUCUCCACAGUGGCCUGGACUCUUGAUUUCCAGAGGCUGAACUGGCCCAUCUUCUGAUGGCAACUUCCAGCGGUGGGACUGGUACACCAACCCAGUCACAAAAACUUUGAUCUACAAUCUGUCCUGCUGCAGGAUGUGCAUGGACAAUGGGAAAAGGUUCCCCUUCAGAACACAAAGGUGGUUUGUCUGCUGGCAGAGGAGAAGUUGAGAAGAAAAUCUGUGAAGUUUCAGUUCAUACAGGAAAACAAGAGACACAGAAACCUUUUGCUUACCAAGACCAAGUAGAUGAAGCAAGAAAGUUGGAGGAGUGAUGAUCAGAAGAGGCCCC